Molecule: long non-coding RNA, 1088 nt
Organism: Priapulus caudatus
Lineage: Eukaryota; Metazoa; Priapulida; Priapulimorpha; Priapulimorphida; Priapulidae
Exons: 2
Source: RefSeq, a predicted model, not a curated record
CAUUCGCGAUUCAGAGUAUACGACGUAGUAAAAACGCACUGACAUAAUAAUGGAGUCUUGGGCACCAGUAAUAUUUGCGAUUUCACUCAUCUUUCCCUUACAAGGCGUUCUAGCGUUUGACGGAGGCGAUGCAUUGGCGCUCAUCUUAGGCUUGGCUUUAGGAUUAUUCGGUAUAUGUGCCUGCCUGGGCGCCUAUGCUAGGAGAAGAGCUGGCCAAUAGUAGAAACAUGAACUGGAGACCUGAGUGGUUACUGAUGUUCCGACUGUAACUCGAGCAUCAUGGACGCACAAGGAUCUCCUGACCACCACUGACUGAUUAAAGAUAGAAUGGGGACUUUCAUUGAUACCAGGAGCUCAUACCAAAACCUCAUCAUCUAAGAUUUCUGAUCUGAUGACCUUGGAUGUCAGUUUCCACGACAACGUACUACUACACUGUGAUCGAUUCAGCCGACGUGAGCCGACGUGAAAUUUCAGUGUGUAUGUCAAAGAUUCUCAGAAAUUCGAGCACGUUACAUGCAGGUAUGCGGUGUCACGAAUCAAAUGCAAUACUGGUAGAUUAAUUGAUGUGCUAUCCGUGUUUCCUCACAGCACCAAUUUCGACGACAGAAAAAAAAAAGUUGUUCGAGAAAUUAUCCUAUAUUCAUGCUGCAAAAACCCAUGGAUGGAAAAGGUUUCAUUUAGUUGUAUAGUUUUGUUAUUAUUGUUAAUCUUUCUUAACAGUAAUAUGUAGUUAUGCAUGAAAGUGGUUAGAGCGUUGUUCUAUGGUACCGGUAACCAAUUAUAUAUUAUUAUAACAUUUCACCUAGAUUGUACAACAUGUAUUUGUUAAAGAAGUGGUGCUUAUCAUCUCAAAAAAUUUAAAAUCAUGAAAUUGGUUGAAAACAGUUUUAAAACAUGUCUAUAAUACGAAUCGCAGCCAAAUAUAAAGCUGUUAUGAUUGAUAUUGUAAGUAUGAAGUUUGUUAAACAUGAUAAUACAGGUGUGAAAAAUGAUGAAAUGACAUGUUCCUUGUGUAUAUAAAAAUGAUGUAUAAUAUUUCAUAUCAAUAAAAUGCACCGUCAAUUCAAUUGUCGUUAAUAACAUAUUCA